This 506-nucleotide ribosomal RNA is filed under the name uncultured bacterium. RNAcentral describes it as "partial 16S ribosomal RNA". It matches the Rfam family "Bacterial small subunit ribosomal RNA", at positions 30 to 523 of the family's 1533-position model. The record is from RNAcentral.
AUUGAACGCUGGCGGCAGGCCUAACACAUGCAAGUCGAACGGUAACAGGAAACAGCUUGCUGUUUCGCUGACGAGUGGCGGACGGGUGAGUGAUGUCUGGGAAACUGCCUGAUGGAGGGGGAUAACUACUGGAAACGGUAGCUAAUACCGCAUAACGUCGCAAGACCAAAGAGGGGGACCUUCGGGCCUCUUGCCAUCGGAUGUGCCCAGAUGGGAUUAGCUAGUAGGUGGGGUAACGGCUCACCUAGGCGACGAUCCCUCGCUGGUCUGAGAGGAUGACCAGCCACACUGGAACUGAGACACGGUCCAGACUCCUACGGGAGGCAGCAGUGGGGAAUAUUGCACAAUGGGCGCAAGCCUGAUGCAGCCAUGUCGCGUGUAUGAAGAAGGCCUUCGGGUUGUAAAGUACUUUCAGCGGGGAGGAAGGGAGUAAAGUUAAUACCUUUGCUCAUUGACGUUACCCGCAGAAGAAGCACCGGCUAACUCCGUGCCAGCCGCCGCAGUAA